RNAcentral lists this ribosomal RNA (810 nucleotides) under uncultured bacterium. Its description in RNAcentral is "bacterial SSU rRNA". It matches the Rfam family "Bacterial small subunit ribosomal RNA", at positions 8 to 796 of the family's 1533-position model. The record is from RNAcentral.
AGAGUUUGAUCAUGGCUCAGAACGAACGCUGGCGGCGUGGAUAAGACAUGCAAGUCGAGCGAGAUUUUUUCUUGUAGCAAUACAGGGAAAAGUCUAGCGGCGAACGGGUGCUUAACACGUGGGCAACCUGCCGUGAAGUGGGGGAUAGCUCGCCGAAAGGCGAAUUAAUACCGCAUGUGAUUAGAGAGGACAUCCUUUCGAAAUUAAAGUCGGGGCAACCUGACGCUUCUUGUGGGGCCCGCGGCCUAUCAGCUAGUUGGUGAGGUAACGGCUCACCAAGGCUUUGACGGGUAGCUGGUCUGAGAGGACGACCAGCCACACUGGGACUGAGACACGGCCCAGACACCUACGGGUGGCAGCAGUCGAGAAUUUUUGACAAUGGGGGAAACCCUGAUCGAGCGACGCCGCGUGGAGGAUGAAGGUCUUCGGAUUGUAAACUCCUGUCAUUGGGGAACAAGGUGCAUACGUUAACUGCGUGUGUAUUGAUAGUACCCGAAGAGGAAGGGACGGCUAACUCUGUGCCAGCAGCCGCGGUAAUACAGAGGUCCCAAGCGUUGUUCGGAUUCAUUGGGCGUAAAGGGUGCGUAGGCGGCGCGGUAAGUCGGGUGUGAAAUCUCGGAGCUUAACUCCGAAACUGCAUUCGAUACUGCCGUGCUUGAGGACUGGAGAGGAGACUGGAAUUUACGGUGUAGCGGUGAAAUGCGUAGAUAUCGUAAGGAAGACCAGUGGCGAAGGCGGGUCUCUGGACAGUUCCUGACGCUGAGGCACGAAGGCCAGGGGAGCAAACGGGAUUAGAUACCCUAGUAGUCC